UGUCUAGAGUGGAAAGACUCAAGAUGG
RNAcentral lists this non-coding RNA (27 nucleotides) under Rattus norvegicus (Norway rat). The record is from RNAcentral. Lineage: Eukaryota; Metazoa; Chordata; Mammalia; Rodentia; Muridae.